UGGAGUGUGAGAGGGUGUCUGCCCCUCCUGUCGUCUGUCCCUUUCCUUCUAAGGCUAGAGGAGGACGGCAUGCUGUGGACUCUCGCCUUCCUUCUAGCUUUCUUGGCUCCUGCCACUUGGAUAUCUUCCAAUGUGGAAGGGACACAGACGUCAAUCACCAAGCAGGCUGGGUCUUCAGUUGUAUUCACUUGUGAUAGUAAACAAAGGAUCACCUACGUCCAUUGGUACCGACACAAGGAGGGAAUGGCCCCACAACGAAUUGUCUACUACCAUCAUCAAGACUCCAGAUUAGUGUCGGAUCCAGGAAUCCGUUUAGAGAGAUACCGUGUUUAUGAAAGCACAGAGAGGAACCGUAAAAUUGAAAUCCGGAAGCUGGAACAAAGUGAUUCUGGUGUGUAUUACUGUGCUAUCUGGGAGAAAUUUGGAGAAGGGACUAAGCUCGUGGUAACUCCCUCUGAUGCACGCCUUCCUGCAGACAUUUCUCCCAAGCCCACCAUUUUUCUUCCUUCAAUUGCUGAAAUAAACUUCCAUAAGGCUGGAACAUAUCUUUGUCUUCUUCAGAAAUUCUUCCCCGAGGUUAUUAAGGUAUUUUGGAAGGAAAAGAAUGGCAAUACAAUCCUGCAGUCCCAGCAGGGAAAUACCAUGAAGACUGAUAACACUUACAUGAAAUUCAGCUGGCUGACCGUGACUGGAAAGUCAAUGGAUAAAGAACAUAAAUGCAUCGUCCAACACGAGAAUAAUAAAGGAAGGGUUGACCAAGAGAUUCUUUUUCCAUCAGUGAAUGAAGACGUCACUGCUGUUACUUCUAGAAGAGCUUGUCUGAAAGAUGAAAACCCCCUGCAGCUCACCAGCACCUUGGCCUAUUACAGCUACCUCCUGCUCCUCCUCGUGAGCGCGGUCUACUUUGCCAUCAUCACCAUCUGUCUGUGUAGGAGAACAGCCGUCUCUGGCAAUGGAAAGAAUUCAUAACAGAUGGGGGGACAAAGAAGUCAACUUUUGUUCAUCAUUUAUUGUCCCUAGAAGUGUCUACUGCGAAUCUACCUUGGCUUUCUCUCUGGGUUUGGGUUAUUCCAGUUCAAAAGUGUGCUUUGCUGUUAUGCCAUUAUUGUGUAAUGGUUUUUCAAAACACUGGGCAAAUAGAAAUUUUUUCUCUAUGACAGCAAUGAACUCUGCCAUUACUCAGGGGCAGGGCCGUGGGGUCGUCCUUUAGCACCACUCUCUCCAUGAUCUCCAUCAGCUCCUCCAGCAAACUGAAUGACCAUGCCUUCUGAGUACAGACAACAUGCAACUCUACUCACGUCCCUUAGGGCCAUUUAACCAGAUGACCACCUUGGAGCCUU
Equus quagga is the source of this 1340-nucleotide non-coding RNA. The record is from the annotation of a RefSeq genome assembly. Lineage: Eukaryota; Metazoa; Chordata; Mammalia; Perissodactyla; Equidae.